GUCCACAGCCACCCUGCCCUGAAUGUACCUGAUCUCAUCUCAUCUAAGAAGCUAAGUAGGGUCAGUUCUGGUUACUACUUAGAUGGGAGUAGGGU
This 95-nucleotide ribosomal RNA is filed under the name Prolemur simus (greater bamboo lemur). The record is from RNAcentral. Lineage: Eukaryota; Metazoa; Chordata; Mammalia; Primates; Lemuridae.